Melanotaenia boesemani (Boeseman's rainbowfish) is the source of this 705-nucleotide long non-coding RNA. RefSeq lists it as uncharacterized. The transcript is spliced from 2 exons. Lineage: Eukaryota; Metazoa; Chordata; Actinopteri; Atheriniformes; Melanotaeniidae. The record is from RefSeq and is a predicted model, not a curated record.
UUUAGGUACAUCGUGUGUUACUACCCUAAAGGGCGUCUUUGUUUAGUUAUUUUAUGUUACAUUAUUUUAUGCUUGGAAUGGGAUGUUUUCCUAAUGACAUCGUGUAUUACUACCCUAAAGCGUUGGAGAAUAAACCGCCUCCAAGGUUUCAGCCACAAGUCCGAACCCUGUGUCCAGUGUCCUCCCUUUCCGCACAACACCCCUGCUACCAUCCAACAAAACACAACGCAGAGUCCAAGGGGUCGCAGAGAGCCGUGCUGAGGAUACACAGAGCGGGUUACUGUGACAACCCCUGAGCGGGCUGUAUUUUGUCCGUCUCUGGGGACUUUACUUUUUGCUUCCAGCUCUGUCUCUUGUUCUGCCUCCUUCUUCUUCUCUCCGCCUCUGUCCUCCGUUUCUCAGGUGGCCAGUAUGCUGCUCCGGUCCUCCCGCGGUACCUGGCGGGGCCGUGGCCCGUUUGGGCUUAAAUACCAGGCCUUCUCCACCUGCGGGGCUCUUCGCGCCGGCCUGCUCACUGGCAGCACUCCGUGUCCUUUGUUUAUGCACUCAUUAGUUUUUCCACUUUUGCUUUCCCACGCAUCACCUCUCUACAACCAACACUUCCACACACUACUGAUGCUACAGAUUGUACACAUAGGUUACACUGUUAAGCACCGUUUAUUUACUUUAGUCACCGUUUCUUAAUAAAUCAUACUCUAAUUGGCA